RNAcentral lists this ribosomal RNA (301 nucleotides) under uncultured bacterium. Its description in RNAcentral is "partial 16S ribosomal RNA". It matches the Rfam family "Bacterial small subunit ribosomal RNA", at positions 509 to 807 of the family's 1533-position model. The record is from RNAcentral.
CAGCCGCCACGGUAAUACGUAGGUGGCAAGCGUCGUCCGGAAUUAUUGGGCGUAAAGGGCUCGCAGGCGGUUUCUUAAGUCUGAUGUGAAAGCCCCCGGCUCAACCGGUGAGGGUCAUUGGGAACUGGGAAACUUGAGUGCAGAAGAGGAGAGUGGAAUUCCACGUGUAGCGGUGAAAUGCGUAGAGAUGUGGAGGAACACCAGUGGCGAAGGCGACUCUCUGGUCUGUAACUGACGCUGAGGAGCGAAAGCGUGGGGAGCGAACAGGAUUAGAUACCCCGGUAGUCCCUGUCUCUUAUAC